Molecule: unclassified non-coding RNA, 807 nt
Filed under: Hevea brasiliensis (rubber tree)
Lineage: Eukaryota; Viridiplantae; Streptophyta; Magnoliopsida; Malpighiales; Euphorbiaceae
Source: RNAcentral
GAUAGCUUUUUCACCAUCUGAUAUCAUGGAAAAGUAUAAGGAUGCUGUGUUAUUACCUAAGUGGAAGGCAUUCCAGACACUCAUAUUUCUUGAACGGGAUGAUGGUCUCCAUGAUUCAAAUAAAAUUCCUGCAUUUGAUUUUGAUGGAUGUCUUGCAAAAACCUCUGUUAAGAGAGUUGGUGCAGAUGCGUGGUCCCUUAUGUAUCCCUCAAUACCAGACAAACUGCAAAGCUUAUAUAAUGAUGGCUACAAGCUGGUUAUCUUCACAAAUGAAUCUAACAUUGAUCGCUGGAAGAACAAAAGACAGAUAGCUGUGGACUCAAAAGUUGGACGCCUCAACAACUUCAUUGAGCAUGUGAAGGUUCCAAUUCAGGUUUUUAUAGCUUGUGGGUAUUCUCAUGGUAACAUGGAAGAUCCAUUUCGCAAGCCUAAACCUGGAAUGUGGUGGAUUAUGGAGAAACAUUUUAACUCUGGCAUUUCAAUCGAUAUGGAUAAUUCCUUUUAUGUUGGGGAUGCAGCAGGGCGGAGAAUUGAUGAUCAUAGUGAUACUGACAUAAAAUUUGCUCAGGCCAUUGGAUUGAAGUUCUUUGUCCCUGAUGAUUACUUCGGUAAAUAAAAAAUCUUGGUAAGCAUCUCCUGGUGGCUGGUGCACGAGUUUCUAGCAGAGGUCCAGAUCAGAAUUUACUCAUCUAUGAUUGUCUGAUGUAUCUAAUUAUCAUACUUCUGAUUUGUUACUCGAAGUGAAUCUGGAUCUGAUAUGCUUUGGAUUAAUUCAUAUCAAGAUUUUUUAUUUACCGAAGUAAUCAU